GAUUGUCCAUAAUUAUAAAGAUAUAAGAGUGUAGAUCUUUCAAGCAAGCAUGUUAUUAUCAUUGCGUCAGUAUUAUCAAAAUAAUAUAUUGUUUACGUACUUGGAAGAGAAAUUACGCAACUUCUGUAUCAGCGGCACUGGCUCUUUCGUGGUUUUGUUCGUCGUUGAUAACAUUUAUGAUCGUCGUUAAUCGAUUGAAAUUUUGACAUUAUUUAAAUUUAAAUGCACAUUGGAUCUACAUAAUAAUGAAACAACUGUGAUAACGAUUAUUUUCAAAUAUACAAUUAUUUUCAUAUAUAUACAAUUAUUUAAUUGCUUUUUCUUCUAAUCAGACACAUCUGUACAGAAUCGAAUAUCGAAACAUUCUUCUUCUAUUUCAAUGAUUUUUUUUAAUAUUUUCGAUUGUUUAAAAAAAUUUGGCUUUGUAUGCAAAUUAUGAAUAUUCUUACAGGGGUCACUCAAUAUUAAGAUACAUUUAAAUGUAAAAAUAUUUUUUCAUGAUGUGUAAAUGUGUCGAAUACAAGACUUAUGUAACAGUUUAUAUUUAAAGAAAAUUAAAUAAAUUUGAUUCUAUAAAAAUGACGAAUCAAAUUCGAUCGUUUAUUAGCAUUUAAAAGUAUAUAGAAAUAAAGAACGAAUAUAGGUUAGAUCGCGACGCGGCUCAUGGAUAUGAUUGCUAUUUAUUUAUUAAAUUAUAAUUUUUAAGAUUUUGUAUAAUUUUAUAUCACAUAUUAACGUGUUUUUAUUUGAAAAAUACUAAGUGUUACUUUAAGUGUUACUUUAAGUGUCAGUUCGAAAAUUAUUUAAACCAAUAGUUAAUCUAGAUAUUAAAACAUAAAAGCAUUAAAAAUCAACGAAAUUGUAAACGUAAAUGUAAUCGGUCAUCUAGAAUUCAAAAUUGAAAGCACAGCCGGACAAUUUGAUUCUCGUUGGCUGCUAAUUUAUCUGUCACUAAAAUCAGGUUACAGUCCCAUAAGUCACUAUAGCGAAUGUGACGCUUACGUCAUCGGAUUUACGUGCCUGUAUGAAUUUUCUGAUUAUAUUAAAGCGGAAUUAAAAUUAUUUUAUCAAAUAUAUCGAUAAUAUAUACAUUGGUCUUGAAGUGAUAAUUCAGAGAUUUCGAACGUAUUAUAUAUACGAUUUAUCCCUUUAUCUUAUGUAAUGUACGAUAUCAAUUAUUUCGGAAUAGCUAACGUAAAUUAGUUACAGAUAUAAUAUAUAUAUAUGUGUAUAUUAUAUUUUUACUUUUAAAAUAAAUGAUUGUGAUAUAAUUAUUAGUAAUAGAAACAAAAAAGUGCGAAAUGAUUUAAUUGAGGGUUAAGUGCAUAGUGAAUGUAGUGCCAUGUUUUUUUUGGCGCGAAUUAUGAAUUUGGUAACGAAAUUUAUCAAAUACAAUGCAAAUAUCGAAAUCAA
Molecule: long non-coding RNA, 1413 nt
Organism: Apis mellifera (honey bee)
Lineage: Eukaryota; Metazoa; Arthropoda; Insecta; Hymenoptera; Apidae
Exons: 2
Source: RefSeq, a predicted model, not a curated record